This 237-nucleotide non-coding RNA is filed under the name Symbiodinium sp. CCMP2430. Lineage: Eukaryota; Dinophyceae; Suessiales; Symbiodiniaceae. The record is from RNAcentral.
CACAACCAUUAGACUGAUACCCCUAGAGAAUAACAGUUGAUAUAGGACAGAGGUUGAGAUCUGAGACUUGGAUAUGAUGACUGUCCCUGUUAUGACGAGGUGUGACUAUUAACCCUUUAUAACAGAGGUAGGACUAGUUACCCUAUAGAGGAGGAAUGAACGGUUAGACUAAAUCUUAAAUCCUGGAACCUGUUGUGAAUGAGUUGAGUGGUGAGUUAAAAGGAAAGAGAAAAGAAC